RNAcentral lists this long non-coding RNA (402 nucleotides) under Ricinus communis (castor bean). Its description in RNAcentral is "long non-coding RNA (RCOM_LNC002517)". Lineage: Eukaryota; Viridiplantae; Streptophyta; Magnoliopsida; Malpighiales; Euphorbiaceae. The record is from RNAcentral.
GUUCUACUACAAAGUCAUAUACAAUAAAUGUCCCAAAUCAUUUGGAGACACGAGACAUGGAGAAUGUGCAGUAGCAGGUGCAGUCUACAAUAGAUAAGGAUAGACUCGUCUGCCACCAGGAGUAGGAGGAGGUGACUUCUGGUAUCCGUAUAGAGGUUCGACAGCUCAUCCAAGAGCUCCUCAUGAAGUUCUUGAUGCCCGAUGCAUCUUUCUCUGCCUCAACUUAGCAGCAACAAGAUGACCAGGAUCAGUCGAUUGCCGACCCGUAUAUUAGAUUUCUUUUAAUUCUUUGACUAUAAUAAAUAAUUUCUAAUUUAUAAUAUAAUUUUUUUAUAUAUUACCUUUUUUUAUUGAUAUGUCAGUCAAAUUUGAUUAAUAAGUUAAUAAAUGAGCAACUGAUCU